RNAcentral lists this non-coding RNA (21 nucleotides) under Caenorhabditis elegans. Lineage: Eukaryota; Metazoa; Nematoda; Chromadorea; Rhabditida; Rhabditidae. The record is from RNAcentral.
UUUUUUUUCAUUCCCGAAGUU